Molecule: ribosomal RNA, 1269 nt
Filed under: Pyrophorus divergens (Brazilian luminescent click beetle)
Lineage: Eukaryota; Metazoa; Arthropoda; Insecta; Coleoptera; Elateridae
Description: 16S ribosomal RNA
Rfam family: Archaeal large subunit ribosomal RNA (bases 573-1269)
Source: RNAcentral
AUUAGAUUAUUAUUUCUUUUUUGUGAAGUGUCAUUUUUUUUUAUUAUUUUAUUUGAAUAAAGGUUUUUAAUUAUAGUAAAUUAGUAGUGUGAAUGAAUUUUGAAAUAUGUUUUAGUUUGGAAAAAGAAGAUUUGAAUUUUUGUACCUUGUGUAUCAGGGUUAAUAAAUUAAGGGUUCUGUAUAAAAUUUUCCCGAAUCAGGAAGAGCUAAUUGGCUGUAUUUUUAGUUGUUUCAUAAACUUUAAUAAUGGUUGUUUAGAAAUGAAACGUUAUUCGUUUCCUGUGAUAUCUGGUUUUAUAAGAAAUGAAUUAAAUUCAUUUGUUGAUUAAUUCGUGUUAAAUUUUAGCUUGGACUGGUUAGCAAUAAAUAGUGGGGGGGACGAGCUUUCCAUUAUAGUUCUAAAAUGAUUAUUUUUGUUUAGUAAGUAUGAUUAGUAUUGUCAGUCUUUAGUUUAAUUUUAUAGUUGUUUUUACUUAAAUUUUUAUUUAUUUAUAUUUUAGAUUUUAUAUUAUGAUUUUUUCUUUAAUUUUUUUUGUGAUUUGAUAAUGAUUAAAUUAGUAAAAUAAUAUUUGUUUCGUUAGAAGUUUUUUGGGUUUAAUAAAGGAAUUCGGCAAAAGUGUCUUUCGCCUGUUUAUUAAAAACAUGUCCUUUUGAUUAUUAUUUAAGGUCUAAUCUGCUCAAUGAGGAAUUAAAUUGCCGCGGUAUUUUGACCGUGCGAAGGUAGCAUAAUAAUUAGUUUUUUUAUUGAAAGCUGGAAUGAAUGAUUGGACGAGGGGACAGCUGUCUACUAUUGAAUUAUUUAUUGAAUUUAACUUUUAAGUAAAAAGGCUUAAAUUUUAUUAAAAGACGAGAAGACCCUAUAGAGUUUAAUAUCUUUUUUUGUGAUAGGUUUUUGGGAUUAUUUAUUUUUACAUGAAUAGGUGUUUGGUUGGGGUGACUGGAAGAUUUUAUAAACUCUUCUAAUUUGUUGUUACUGAUUAGUAAAUUUAAAGUCUGGAUUUUUCAAGAUUAAUGAAAAUUACCUUAGGGAUAACAGCGUAAUUUCUUUUUAGAGUUCUUAUUGGAAGGGAAGUUUGCGACCUCGAUGUUGGAUUAAAAUAAAUAUUUGGCGCAGUAGCUAAAUUAUUAGGUCUGUUCGACCUUUAAAAUUUUACAUGAUCUGAGUUUAAACCGGUGUGAGCCAGGUUGGUUUCUAUCUUUAAUUGAUUAUGACGCUUUAGUACGAAAGGACCGGGUGUUAAUAUAUUAUUUGGUUUUUGAAUGUUAUUG